CUUCGGUACAACAGCCAGAUAGAGAAGUGCUCUCCAAAUAUUUACUCAACAUUUGUUACUACCAUCAAUAUUUUAAUAUUUAACAGAUAAAAGUCUCUAGAUUGUGGUCUUCUCUGAAAAUCUCCACCAGCCCAAUGUGGUUAAUUCCGUCCGUCUUUGAGAGAAGUUCUGGUUCCUUGUGACGGACACCUCGGUCCGUUCAGGAGAAGAAUUGGUGGCGUGAGAAGAUUCAGAUGAUGCAGAUAUACAGUCCUCCUUCUCCGCCUCUCCAUUGUAUCGUUGUUAGAGGCACCGUGUUCUCUUCAUCCUACCACUCAUCAAAGGUUACACUCUGGGGAGGAAUUACUCUGACCUGCUUUUCUUUCAACGGAUGAUGGGCAAAACAAACAGGAAAUACUACAAUGGGACACAUUACAAAUGCCAAAGCAUUACUCUUCUUUCUUAAUCCCUUGCUGUCAACAUUUCUCACCCAGCAAACUCUUCCACUGCUCCCACAGAGAAAACAAACACAGAAGCCGGACCACACGAUACGAGUUUCUCCGUUACCCUCAGUCUGCCCACGCGCUCCGGAAAUCCUCCGGCAUAAUCAAUGCGUCGGUUAUCCCCCCUUCUCCCCUCCCUGUAUUCUCAGAUGAGCAUAUUAAGAGGCAUUUGUGAUAUUCCCAAGGAGUGAAGAUCAAGGCUCCGAGCUUAUCCACCGCCUGUUUGGCAACCACACAUUUCCCCCGACAGUUGGAGGAAGACCCUCACAUUGCGUCUGUCCUCGACGACGUCCCUCUCGCUCUGUGUCUCUUGGUCUGUCUCCUCCUCCAGACAUCCUCCGCGCUCUUACAUUUAAACCCGUUUGUGAGCCACAGAGGAUUCUGUUACAGGAGGUGCUGCUUAAAGAUUACAGGCUGUGACUGAAGCACACAACGCACACACUUGUGAGAUGCCCUCAGACCUUCACCUGCCCCGCUCACCUGGAUCACUCCUUCACCUGCUCACCUGUAUCCACGUCCACCCAUCAGGCCUGCCGGCGUACAACCGAGCAGUUUCCCACACGUUCAGCAUGUUGCUUGUUGCCUUUGUGUCCCGGAUCUCUGAACCCGAGCUUUACCCCCGAACCUGUUUCUGGCCCUGCUGCUGUUCGACCUCCUGCCUGUUCGCUCACCGGUGAGGUGUUUUCUCAAGAACUUUUCAUUCUUCCUCCUGAACCUGCUUCACACAGCCCAUUUAUCCACCUUUCAAUCCUCCUCGCUUUGUCGAAGGAAUUCAAAUCAGAUGCACAUUAUUUCCCUCUAUAGGCGCUGCACACACCAUUACACCACUGGAUGAUAAUAUGGAAAAUAUAGAAAUGUGUAGAGAGAAAUGUGUAGCAAAUGACACCUCUUACGGAUACAUAUUUUCCUCUUGAACUGAAGACAUGCAAGCACGCGCACACACACACACACACACACACACACACACACACACACACA
Long non-coding RNA from Gasterosteus aculeatus aculeatus (three-spined stickleback), 1460 nucleotides. The record is from Ensembl. Lineage: Eukaryota; Metazoa; Chordata; Actinopteri; Perciformes; Gasterosteidae.